UACGGAGGGUGCAAGCGUUAUCCGGCAUCAUUGGGUUGAAAGGGUCCGUAGGCGGGUCGAUAAGUCAGUGGUGAAAGUCUGCAGCUCCACUGUAGAACUGCCAUUGAUACUGUCGUCCUUGGGUUAUUGUGAAGUGGUUGGAAUAUGUAGUGUAGCGGUGAAAUGCAUAGAUAUUACAUAGAACACCGAUUGCGAAGGCAGAUCACUAAUAAGAUACUGACGCUGAUGGACGAAAGCGUGGGUAGCGAACAGG
RNAcentral lists this unclassified non-coding RNA (253 nucleotides) under uncultured Flavobacteriaceae bacterium. RNAcentral describes it as "contains 16S-23S intergenic spacer region". It matches the Rfam family "Bacterial small subunit ribosomal RNA", at positions 524 to 776 of the family's 1533-position model. Lineage: Bacteria; Pseudomonadati; Bacteroidota; Flavobacteriia; Flavobacteriales; Flavobacteriaceae. The record is from RNAcentral.